This 429-nucleotide ribosomal RNA is filed under the name Acidobacteriota bacterium. RNAcentral's name for it is "Acidobacteria bacterium partial 16S ribosomal RNA". It matches the Rfam family "Bacterial small subunit ribosomal RNA", at positions 355 to 776 of the family's 1533-position model. The record is from RNAcentral. Lineage: Bacteria; Pseudomonadati; Acidobacteriota.
UGGGGAAUUUUGGACAAUGGGGGAAACCCUGAUCCAGCCAUCCCGCGUGUGCGAUGAAGGCCUUCGGGUUGUAAAGCACUUUUGGCAGGAAAGAAACGUCAUGGGUUAAUACCCCGUGAAACUGACGGUACCUGCAGAAUAAGCACCGGCUAACUACGUGCCAGCAGCCGCGGUAAUACGUAGGGUGCAAGCGUUAAUCGGAAUUACUGGGCGUAAAGCGUGCGUAGGCGGUUCGGAAAGAAAGAUGUGAAAUCCCAGAGCUCAACUUUGGAACUGCAUUUUUAACUACCGGGCUAGAGUGUGUCAGAGGGAGGUGGAAUUCCGCGUGUAGCAGUGAAAUGCGUAGAUAUGCGGAGGAACACCGAUGGCGAAGGCAGCCUCCUGGGAUAACACUGACGCUCAUGCACGAAAGCGUGGGGAGCAAACAGG